UGUAUAUAUCGAGACGAAAUGAAAAAGGACAAUUCAUAAACCUUCACAUCAUACAACCAAAAAAGACACUGCCGUUGGAAAGAGUUAAGAGGAAGAUUCCGUUGAACAGCGACAUAUAAGAUACAAUUUACCUAAUUCAAAACUACAAGCUUUCAUUUUGGAAUCAAUAGCAACGGUUAACAAUGAUGAUGAGUUUACCACGCGUGGCUAUUAUUGCUUUAAUUUGUACCUUGAUGUGCAGUUAUGGAAGCAGUAUGACUCUGGACGAGAUCAGAAGAUCAAUUCCGAAAGGGGCGACUCUUUAUUCAUAUGCUGGAACCUGUGAAGCCUGUGGUGAAUUCUAUGGUAGUAGCUAUACUUAUCGCUGUCUCACAGACAAAACCUUCGAAACUUACCAUAAAUGUAACAUUGCUGUCAAUGAGAAACGCAAAUAAAAUAUUUGAAAGAAAGCAGAGUUUGGAAAAAGGAAGAGAAUUCGUACAAGA
This is a long non-coding RNA of Octopus sinensis (East Asian common octopus), 485 nucleotides long. RefSeq lists it as uncharacterized. The record is from RefSeq and is a predicted model, not a curated record. The transcript is spliced from 3 exons. Lineage: Eukaryota; Metazoa; Mollusca; Cephalopoda; Octopoda; Octopodidae.